UGGCUCAGAUUGAACGCUGGCGGCAGGCCUAACACAUGCAAGUCGAACGGUAGCACAGAGAGCUUGCUCUCGGGUGACGAGUGGCGGACGGGUGAGUAAUGUCUGGGAAACUGCCUGAUGGAGGGGGAUAACUACUGGAAACGGUAGCUAAUACCGCAUAACGUCGCAAGACCAAAGAGGGGGACCUUCGGGCCUCUUGCCAUCAGAUGUGCCCAGAUGGGAUUAGCUAGUAGGUGGGGUAACGGCUCACCUAGGCGACGAUCCCUAGCUGGUCUGAGAGGAUGACCAGCCACACUGGAACUGAGACACGGUCCAGACUCCUACGGGAGGCAGCAGUGGGGAAUAUUGCACAAUGGGCGCAAGCCUGAUGCAGCCAUGCCGCGUGUAUGAAGAAGGCCUUCGGGUUGUAAAGUACUUUCAGCGGGGAGGAAGGUGUUGUGGUUAAUAACCGCAGCAAUUGACGUUACCCGCAGAAGAAGCACCGGCUAACUCCGUGCCAGCAGCCGCGGUAAUACGGAGGGUGCAAGCGUUAAUCGGAAUUACUGGGCGUAAAGCGCACGCAGGCGGUCUGUCAAGUCGGAUGUGAAAUCCCCGGGCUCAACCUGGGAACUGCAUUCGAUACUGGCAGGCUAGAGUCUUGUAGAGGGGGGUAGAAUUCCAGGUGUAGCGGUGAAAUGCGUAGAGAUCUGGAGGAAUACCGAUGGCGAA
This 708-nucleotide ribosomal RNA is filed under the name Enterobacter sp. JA14. Its description in RNAcentral is "bacterial SSU rRNA". It matches the Rfam family "Bacterial small subunit ribosomal RNA", at positions 20 to 719 of the family's 1533-position model. Lineage: Bacteria; Pseudomonadati; Pseudomonadota; Gammaproteobacteria; Enterobacterales; Enterobacteriaceae. The record is from RNAcentral.